UUACUAUUUUGAUUUUUUUAGUUACAUAUGACUAAACAAGAGAAAAAUUACAAAUGGCAAAAGUUUCUUCAGACUUUUUUUUCAAUCAACAACAGUAAGAACUGAUAAAUUAAGAAGUAAACAGAUUUCAGAAAAGUCUUUGUCCUACCAAGUGAUGAUCAUGAUGAUUGCGAUGAUGAUAUGAUAUACAUGAUAAUGAUGAGCAUAUGAAAUUGAGAUGGUGAUCAUCAUCAUAUCAUGAUGCUGGUUUACUUUCAGUAUUUUAUAGUAAUGUAUAUUAUAACAAAUUUGUAUAUAUAAGUUCAGAAACUGACACUCCACAUUUACUGAAAAAAAAGAAAGUCGUAAAUAAUAAAAAAAGACACUUGCUCUAGCCCGUGCUAUUUCUCCUUUAACAUUUUUAUGUAUUGAAAAUUUGACUUCAUCAGAUCAUUUAAAAUUAAAUAACUUUUUAAAACAAGGCUCUGCUACUUUUUUUAUACUUUUUUUAUUUGAAUAUUCUUUUUUAUUUUUGUAACUGAGUUCCAAUAUGUUCUGAAACAAUCUUUUAGUUAGUUUAUGUAAAUAGGACACAAAUAUGUAUCAAAAUUUAUCAAGUUAAAUUGAUGGACAUUUUUUCGAAAUUUUUUAAUGACGAAUUUAUUUAAAAGAGUGCUUUAUAAGGUGACAAUUUUUUAAUUUAUUUUUAGCGCUUUAAUUCUAAAAAAUGUGCUUUGAUUAAAGAAAAAUGAAAAUAUUUUGUUGCCUAUUGAGAUGGUAUCAACUUAGUUGCGUGCUGAUCAGUUGCUGGAUGAGUUAAAGCUCUCACAGCUCCCUAAAUCAGUAUUGCAUCAUCAGUUGCAUCUAAUGCUAAAAUUGAAGCACAUAGUAAGCAUUAGUAAACUGAAUUUAACUGUUUCAUUAUUGUUAAUUUUUUGUUAUUUUAGUUUUUGGGGUCUUAAGUGACAUCCAAUAGAUGUUUAUCUGUAAGAUGGUUUCUUGCAAAUGUGAGCAAAAAAACACUUCAUUGCAUUGAUGCUGUGAAAAUAAAAGCUUUCACCUCAGGAGCAUCAGGAGAAGAAUUUAAACAUUAACUGAAGAGAUAUUUUUUGCUUUUUGGGGAUCGAAAUGGCGGACGAAAAGCUCGAAAUAACAAUUUGAACUUUUAAUAAUAUUUUUUUAUUUUUUAUUUCAUCAUUUUUCAACUUACUUUUGGUUGGAAAUAAAUUUCGAAAAUACUUAUUUAUUUUUUUCGAUAUAAGUUGGAAUAAAUUUCGAAAAGUA
Molecule: non-coding RNA, 1263 nt
Organism: Hydra vulgaris (swiftwater hydra)
Lineage: Eukaryota; Metazoa; Cnidaria; Hydrozoa; Anthoathecata; Hydridae
Source: RefSeq, a predicted model, not a curated record